Molecule: long non-coding RNA, 343 nt
Filed under: Gossypium raimondii (Peruvian cotton)
Lineage: Eukaryota; Viridiplantae; Streptophyta; Magnoliopsida; Malvales; Malvaceae
Description: long non-coding RNA (GRAI_LNC004474)
Source: RNAcentral
UAAUAUAUCUGAAAUAAUUAAAGUAAAAGUUAAUCUAAAAAUUAUCAACUAUAACAUUUUUCCUGUUGUUAAGCCAAUGAAAUUUAUUGAUUAAAAAUUCCCGAAUUAGGAACACAAAAGAGGAUAUCAAUCACACACCAUAGAUAUCCCGGAAAACAUUUAAAAAAAAAAAUCAAAUACAAAACUCGCCUAAAAACAACUCAUAGACAAUGAACGAAAAAAUGUUUUUGCCUACAAAACAUGCAAUAAAAUUUAACUGGACAAAAACAGUCACAAUUCAAAAUCAAAAUCACUAGACGACUGUUAUCAACCCAAACAAACACCGUAGACGGUAAACUCCCAC